Long non-coding RNA from Bubalus bubalis (water buffalo), 687 nucleotides. RefSeq lists it as uncharacterized. The transcript has 5 exons. Lineage: Eukaryota; Metazoa; Chordata; Mammalia; Artiodactyla; Bovidae. The record is from RefSeq and is a predicted model, not a curated record.
CCCACAUGGGUGUUGGCUAGUGGGGUGACCUUGGCAAGGGCACGAAGACAGCAUUUUCUCAUCUGUCAAGGCGAGACAGCCACUGAGCCCCAGAGUUUCGCCUGCUGGAGACGGACUGGUCCAGGUCCUAGUGCCCAUCAGCACCCACUAGUCUUGGCUGCAGCACUCGGGAUCUUCAGCCUUGGUUGCAGCAUGUGGAAUCCUUAGUUGUGGCACGUGAGAGCUAGCUCCCUGAUCAGGGAUCGAACUUGGGCCCUCUGCACUGGGAACUUGGCGUCUUAGCUGCUGGUGCUUAGCCACAGGACCAGUAGACUGCAGCAUGGGUGACAUGAGAACAAUUCUUUUAAAAAACCUGGAAGCUUCUGCUUUUGUGCACUUGGGUGUCUUGAGCCUCACUGCAAGAAGUCUGGGUAUCUGCAGGAGAGACCACACAGAAAGGCCACGUGGAAAGAUGGAGGCUGAGUGAUCCCAGAGUCCCCAGCUGAACCCAGCCUUUCUGCUCCAGCUGCUGCCUGACUACAGUCCAGGCAGGGCAGCCCACUGGAACUCCUCUGGGAUGUGAACGGUCCUGGGAACACAGGCUCUUCCCCUCCAGUUCACGACCCCUCCCCCAAGUCUCUGCUUUUAGGCACCUCAGUUGCUAAAGGCAUUUAACUUUAAUUCCAUUUGACUUCAAUUGUGUCCAAA